CAACGGCCGCGGUAUCCUAACCGUGCAAAGGUAGCAUAAUCAUUUGCCUAUUAAUUGUAGGCUAGAAUGAAGGGGUUAACGAAAUAAAAGCUGUCUCAAUUAAUUAACUAAAAAUUAUUUUCUAUCCGAAGAAAGGUAGAUAAUCUCGAAGGACAAGAAGACCCUAUAGAGCUUAAUUUUAACUAUAGAAUCAUACUAUAUAAAUAUUCGGUUGGGGCGACCCAGGGCUAAUUAAUCACCCAUUAAAUAAAAGAUAAAUAAAUCUAAUAAAUGAUCCCCUAAAGAUCAUAAAACAAGCUACCUUAGGGAUAACAGGCUAAUCCCACUUAAGAGUCCUUAUCAAAAGUGGGGUUUGGCACCUCGAUGUUGGCUUAGGGUAUCUCUAUAGCGC
RNAcentral lists this ribosomal RNA (391 nucleotides) under Amynthas diffringens. RNAcentral describes it as "partial 16S ribosomal RNA". It matches the Rfam family "Bacterial large subunit ribosomal RNA", at positions 1925 to 2556 of the family's 2925-position model. Lineage: Eukaryota; Metazoa; Annelida; Clitellata; Crassiclitellata; Megascolecidae. The record is from RNAcentral.